Molecule: non-coding RNA, 141 nt
Filed under: Paenibacillus alvei
Lineage: Bacteria; Bacillati; Bacillota; Bacilli; Caryophanales; Paenibacillaceae
Description: SAM-I sequence
Rfam family: SAM riboswitch aptamer (S box leader)
About the family: The SAM riboswitch is found upstream of a number of genes which code for proteins involved in methionine or cysteine biosynthesis in Gram-positive bacteria.
Source: RNAcentral
UUCUUAUCAAGAGUGGCGGAGGGACAGGCCCUGCGAAGCCCGGCAACCGAUCUUGCAACCCGGAUGUAUAACAAUGUUAUACGAUUGCAAGAUGUCAAUGGUGCUAAUUCCUUCAGAACAUGAUGUUCUGGCAGAUAAGAA